Molecule: small RNA, 131 nt
Filed under: Salmonella enterica
Lineage: Bacteria; Pseudomonadati; Pseudomonadota; Gammaproteobacteria; Enterobacterales; Enterobacteriaceae
Also listed under: 2 other names
Description: RtT sRNA
Rfam family: RtT RNA
About the family: This family represents a bacterial cis-regulatory element known as RtT RNA.
Source: RNAcentral
UAUCUCUCCGUACGGGGAAGGAUGAGAAGCUUCGACUAAGGUUCGAUUCGAGCGCAGCGAGAAAGCGUUGCCGCAGGCAACGCCCCGAAGGGUGAGGAGCGGAGCGACGAAUAAUCCUUCCCCCACCACCA